RNAcentral lists this ribosomal RNA (253 nucleotides) under uncultured bacterium. Its description in RNAcentral is "partial 16S ribosomal RNA". It matches the Rfam family "Bacterial small subunit ribosomal RNA", at positions 524 to 776 of the family's 1533-position model. The record is from RNAcentral.
UACGGAGGGUGCAAACGUUGCUCGGAAUCAUUGGGCGUAAAGCGAACGUAGGCGGCUUUGUAAGUCGGGUGUGAAAGCCCUCGGCUCAACCGAGGAAGUGCAUUCGAAACUGCAUGGCUUGAGUGUCGGAGAGGAUAGCGGAAUUCCCGGUGUAGAGGUGAAAUUCGUAGAUAUCGGGAGGAACACCAGUGGCGAAGGCGGCUAUCAGGACGAACACUGACGCUGAAGUUCGAAAGCGUGGGGAGCAAACAGG